UAGGGAAUCUUCGGCAAUGGACGAAAGUCUGACCGAGCAACGCCGCGUGAAUGAAGAAGGUUUUCGGAUCGUAAAACUCUGUUGGUAGAGAAGAACGUUGGUGAGAGUGGAAAGCUCAUCAAGUGACGGUAACUACCCAGAAAGGGACGGCUAACUACGUGCCAG
Molecule: ribosomal RNA, 165 nt
Filed under: uncultured bacterium
Lineage: Bacteria
Description: partial 16S rRNA
Rfam family: Bacterial small subunit ribosomal RNA
Source: RNAcentral